UUAACAGGCGUAUACACCUACCCGUAAGUGUGUACAGUUUAACUAGUAUUUUCCGUUAUUCACUCCGUUUUUCGGGGGCUGAAAUGUUUUCGAACGUCUUCGAUAUUUCAUCGUAUUUUCGAAAUCGGAUAUCUGUACAUUUAGGUCCAAAAGACAAUUUGUAAGAUACUUCGAUAUAUUUUGUUUAAAGUAAAUUUACAUUUGAAACCGAUUAUAGCUGGUAAACAAACUCAAAUUCGAAGAUCGUAGAUCAUCAUACAGAGAAAAAAUAUACCAUCUCGGAAAGUGUUAAAAAUUGAACUCCGGAACGUUUUUCCCCGAAAGCGAGUAUAAAAGUAGUA
Non-coding RNA from Cinara cedri, 341 nucleotides. The record is from the annotation of a GenBank genome assembly. NCBI's taxonomy places the organism in Eukaryota, Metazoa, Arthropoda, Insecta, Hemiptera, Aphididae.